GGGUUCGGACUGAGUUGGCGGGAAGAGGAGAAACCGAGAGAAAAUCGAGUGAUUGGGCGGAUUUAAAUGCCGAUUGCAUGAUCGAAACGGACUGGAGCAAAACAGCAAGACGACCGAGCGUGACAAAGAAGCAUUGAUCAGAACAAGAGCGAGAUCGAAGAAUGGCAGGGAAAGAGACUGAUAGUGAGAGUAGCAGUAUGGUUUGUAGUGAGGAAGAUGAGUCGGGGAUUAAUGAGUGGGAAAGUGUAGGAAAGGGAAAGAAUGCAAAAAGCCGGAAAAGAAAGAAAAAAGAAACAUCCAGCAUUGAAGAAUCAGAAAGUGAAGAAAGGGAAAAAAGAAUGAGACAGGAAAUAAUGAAUGUAGUUGUUAGAUUCGAAGGAGACGGAGGAUUAAAGAAAAUUGACCCGAUUAAAUUAACAAAAAUUCUCAAGGGUAAAAUUGGAGAAGUGAAAUAUGCUAGAAUUCUAGGAGAUGGGAACUUGUUAAUUGGGUGUAAUAAUAAAGACCAAAUGGAGAAGGCUAGGAAACUAACAAGUGUUGGAAAAAUAAAAGUUCUUAAGGUUGUAAGAGUGGGGGAAAAGAGAACAAAUGGAUGCAAGGGUGUGAUAUAUGGAGUUCCCAUUCACGUUAAUGUAAGAGAAAUAGUGGAAAGCAUUAAAGUGGAAAAUAGUACAGUGAAAAGUGUAAGAAGAAUGACAAAAGGGGUAGAGAAAAAGGAAACAGAAUCUGUACUAAUUGAAUUUGAGGAGAAUGAGAUACCGAAGCAGGUGUAUGUUGGUUUUGUAAGAUAUAAUGUAAGGGAGUACAUAACAAAACCAAUGAGAUGUUACAAAUGCCAAGAGUUUGGACACAUAGCCAAAAUGUGCAAAGGGAAGCAAAGAUGUGCUAGAUGUGGGGGGGAACAUGAAUAUGGGAAGUGUGGUGAGGGAACAAAACCAAAGUGUUGUAACUGUGGAGGUAAUCAUAGUGUAGCGUACUGGGGUUGUGAGGUACUUAAAAAAGAAGUGGAGGUACAACAGAUAAGGUUAAAAGAGAAGGUAUCAUAUGCUGAUGCAGUUAAAUUGGCUGGAAAGGAUAAUCAGAAUAAGGAGGGAAGAGGGAAUAUAGAGCAAGGAAAAGUAAAUGAGCAGCAAGAUAAGAAGAUUGCGUGGAAAGAGAAGAAGAAAUUGGUCACAUUCAUUGCAGGAGUAAUAAAUGCAACAUUUGAAAUAAAGUCAAAAACAGAAAGGAUUCAGGUGAUUGUGAAAGCAGCAGAACAUCAUUUGGAUAUGAUAGGACUGAAAUGGGAGGAAAUAAAUGAUGAAUUGAGGAUGCAAGCAAGUCAAGAGAAUUCAUGUGUUGGUUUAUA
Cyprinus carpio carpio is the source of this 1348-nucleotide long non-coding RNA. The record is from Ensembl. Lineage: Eukaryota; Metazoa; Chordata; Actinopteri; Cypriniformes; Cyprinidae.